RNAcentral lists this ribosomal RNA (466 nucleotides) under uncultured bacterium. RNAcentral describes it as "partial 16S ribosomal RNA". It matches the Rfam family "Bacterial small subunit ribosomal RNA", at positions 28 to 507 of the family's 1533-position model. The record is from RNAcentral.
GAUGAACGCUGGCGGCGUGCUUAACACAUGCAAGUCGAACGGAAAGGCUCCUGCUUUCAUUGUUUCUCGAGUGGCGAACGGGUGAGUAUCACGUGGGUGAUCUGCCCUUCUCUUCGUGAUAUGCCUGGGAAACUGCGUCUAUUAUCGGAUAUGACGUUGGUUUGGAUGCCAUUGUGGAAUGUUUUUUCGGUAUGAGAUGGGCUCUCGGCCUAUCAGCUUGUUGGUGGGGUAUUGGCCUACCAAGGCGUCGGCGGGUAGCCGGCCUGAGAAGGUGUACGGCGACAAUGGGACUGAGAGACGGACCAGAAUGCAACGGGAGGCAGAAGUGGGGAAUAUUGCAGAAUGAGAGCAAGCCUGAUGCAGAGAGGCAGCGUGGGGGAUGACGGCCUUCGGGUUGAAAACACCUUUCGAAAGGGAAGAAGCGAAAGUGACGGUACCUAGAGAAGAAGCACCGGCUAACUACGUG